This 839-nucleotide ribosomal RNA is filed under the name uncultured bacterium. Its description in RNAcentral is "bacterial SSU rRNA". It matches the Rfam family "Bacterial small subunit ribosomal RNA", at positions 8 to 822 of the family's 1533-position model. The record is from RNAcentral.
AGAGUUUGAUCAUGGCUCAGAGCGAACGCUGGCGGCGUACUUAACACAUGCAAGUCGAACGGGGAUCAUCAGUGUAGCAAUACAUCGGUGGUCCUAGUGGCGCACGGGUGAGUAACACGUGGGUAACCUGCCCUUGAGUUCGGGAUACCCCCUCGAAAGGGGGGCUAAUACCGGAUACGUUCCUCGGAUCGACAGGUCUGGGGAGGAAAGGUGGCGCAAGCUGCCGCUCUUGGAGGGGCUCGCGGCCUAUCAGCUAGUUGGCGGGGUAACGGCCCACCAAGGCUAUGACGGGUAGCUGGUCUGAGAGGACGACCAGCCACACGGGGACUGAGACACGGCCCCGACUCCUACGGGAGGCAGCAGUGGGGAAUUUUCCGCAAUGGGCGAAAGCCUGACGGAGUGACGCCGCGUGUGGGAUGAAGGCCUUCGGGUCGUAAACCACUGUCAGUGGGAAAGAAGGGUGUCGGCGCUAAUACCGCCGGCAUUUGACGGUACCUGCAGAGGAAGCCCCGGCUAACUCUGUGCCAGCAGCCGCGGUAAGACAGAGGGGGCAAGCGUUGCUCGGAAUUACUGGGCGUAAAGGGCGUGUAGGCGGGAUGGUAAGUCGGUCGUGAAAUCCUUCGGCUCAACCGAAGAACGUCGACCGAUACUGCCGUUCUUGAGGGUUGCAGAGGAGACUGGAAUUCCCGGUGUAGCGGUGAAAUGUGUAGAUAUCGGGAGGAACACCGGUGGCGAAGGCGGGUCUCUGGGCAAUUCCUGACGCUGAGGCGCGAAAGCGUGGGGAGCAAACGGGAUUAGAUACCCCGGUAGUCCACGCUGUAAACGAUGACGACUAGGUG